Molecule: ribosomal RNA, 1414 nt
Filed under: uncultured bacterium
Lineage: Bacteria
Description: bacterial SSU rRNA
Rfam family: Bacterial small subunit ribosomal RNA
Source: RNAcentral
AGAGUUUGAUCCUGGCUCAGGAUGCCUUUGGCGGCGUGCUUAACACAUGCAAGUCGAACGGGGAUGCUUAUGGAAGGAGUGCUUGCACUUUGGAAAUGAGUAUCUUAGUGGCGGACGGGUGAGUAACGCGUGGGUAACCUGCCCCAUACCGGGGGAUACCACCUGGAAACAGGUGCUAAUACCGCAUAAGCACACGGGAGCGCAUGCUCCUGUGUGAAAAACUCCGGUGGUAUGGGAUGGACCCGCGUCUGAUUAGCCAGUUGGCAGGGUAACGGCCUACCAAAGCGACGAUCAGUAGCCGGCCUGAGAGGGUGGACGGCCACAUUGGGACUGAGACACGGCCCAAACUCCUACGGGAGGCAGCAGUGAGGAAUAUUGGUCAAUGGUCGGGAGACUGAACCAGCCAAGCCGCGUGAGGGAGGAAGGUACAGAGUAUCGUAAACCUCUUUUGUCAGGGAACAAAGGCGGGGACGUGUCCCCGGAUGAGUGUACCUGAAGAAAAAGCAUCGGCUAACUCCGUGCCAGCAGCCGCGGUAAUACGGAGGAUGCGAGCGUUAUCCGGAUUUAUUGGGUUUAAAGGGUGCGCAGGCGGUCUGUUAAGUCAGCGGUCAAAGCCCGGGGCUCAACCCCGGCCCGCCGUUGAAACUGGCAGUCUCGAGUUGGAGAGAAGUAUGCGGAAUGCGCGGUGUAGCGGUGAAAUGCAUAGAUAUCGCGCAGAACUCCGAUUGCGAAGGCAGCAUGCCGGCUCCACACUGACGCUGAGGCACGAAAGCGUGGGUAUCGAACAGGAUUAGAUACCCUGGUAGUCCACGCAGUAAACGAUGAAUGCUGGCUGUCCGGGGGGAUUGACCCCUGGGUGGCGAAGCGAAAGCGAUAAGCAUUCCACCUGGGGAGUACGCCGGCAACGGUGAAACUCAAAGGAAUUGACGGGGGCCCGCACAAGCGGAGGAACAUGUGGUUUAAUUCGAUGAUACGCGAGGAACCUUACCCGGGCUCAAACGGGGAGUGACUCAGGCAGAGACGCCUGUUUCCCACGGGACACUCCCCGAGGUGCUGCAUGGUUGUCGUCAGCUCGUGCCGUGAGGUGUCGGCUUAAGUGCCAUAACGAGCGCAACCCCCGCGUGCAGUUGCUAACAGAUAACGCUGAGGACUCUGCACGGACUGCCGGCGCAAGCCGCGAGGAAGGCGGGGAUGACGUCAAAUCAGCACGGCCCUUACGUCCGGGGCAACACACGUGUUACAAUGGGUGGUACAGCGGGAAGCCAGGCGGCGACGCCGAGCGGAACCCGAAAUCCACUCUCAGUUCGGAUCGGAGUCUGCAACCCGACUCCGUGAAGCUGGAUUCGCUAGUAAUCGCGCAUCAGCCAUGGCGCGGUGAAUACGUUCCCGGGCCUUGCACACACCGCCCGUCAAG